UACAGAGGGUGUGAGCGUUAAUCGGAGUUACUGGGCGUAAAGGGCGCGUAGGCGGUUGUGUGAGUGUGAUGUGAAAGCCCUGGGCUUAACCUAGGAAGUGCAUCGCAAACGACAUAACUGGAGUAGAUGAGAGGGUGGCGGAAUUUCCGGUGUAGCGGUGAAAUGCGUAGAGAUCGGAAGGAACGUCAAUGGCGAAGGCAGCCACCUGGCAUCAUACUGACGCUGAGGCGCGAAAGCGUGGGGAGCGAACAGG
RNAcentral lists this ribosomal RNA (253 nucleotides) under uncultured bacterium. RNAcentral describes it as "partial 16S ribosomal RNA". It matches the Rfam family "Bacterial small subunit ribosomal RNA", at positions 524 to 776 of the family's 1533-position model. The record is from RNAcentral.